AGAGAGAGGAUACUUGGGUUUUAGUC
This 26-nucleotide non-coding RNA is filed under the name Homo sapiens (human). The record is from RNAcentral. Lineage: Eukaryota; Metazoa; Chordata; Mammalia; Primates; Hominidae.